RNAcentral lists this ribosomal RNA (139 nucleotides) under uncultured bacterium. RNAcentral describes it as "partial 16S rRNA". It matches the Rfam family "Eukaryotic small subunit ribosomal RNA", at positions 432 to 570 of the family's 1831-position model. The record is from RNAcentral.
GCGCGCAAAUUACCCAAUCCUGACACGGGGAGGUAGUGACAAUAAAUAACAAUACCGGGCGCGUUAGUGUCUGGUAAUUGGAAUGAGUACAAUCUAAAUCCCUUGACGAGGAUCCAUUGGAGGGCAAGUCUGGUGCCAG